GAUCCUGGCUCAGGAUGAACGCUAGCUACAGGCUUAAUACAUGCAAGUCGAGGGGCAGCAUUUUAGUUUGCUUGCAAACUAAAGAUGGCGACCGGCGCACGGGUGAGUAACACGUAUCCAACCUGCCGAUAACUCAGGGAUAGCCUUUCGAAAGAAAGAUUAAUACCUGAUGGCAUAGGAUUAUCGCAUGAUAAUCCUAUUAAAGAAUUUCGGUUAUCGAUGUGGAUGCGUUCCA
RNAcentral lists this ribosomal RNA (235 nucleotides) under uncultured bacterium. RNAcentral's name for it is "partial 16S ribosomal RNA". It matches the Rfam family "Bacterial small subunit ribosomal RNA", at positions 15 to 240 of the family's 1533-position model. The record is from RNAcentral.